ACGGAGGAUGCGAGCGUUAUCCGGAUUCAUUGGGUUUAAAGGGUGCGUAGGCGGUUUCUUAAGUCAGUGGUGAAAUCCUGCGGCUCAACCGUAGAACUGCCAUUGAUACUGAGAAACUUGAAUACAAUUGAGGUAGGCGGAAUGAGUAGUGUAGCGGUGAAAUGCUUAGAUAUUACUCAGAACACCAAUUGCGAAGGCAGCUUACUAAACUGUAAUUGACGCUGAUGCACGAAAGCGUGGGGAGCGAACAGG
This 252-nucleotide ribosomal RNA is filed under the name uncultured bacterium. RNAcentral's name for it is "partial 16S ribosomal RNA". It matches the Rfam family "Bacterial small subunit ribosomal RNA", at positions 525 to 776 of the family's 1533-position model. The record is from RNAcentral.